This 66-nucleotide transfer RNA is filed under the name Hoplopleura sp. RNAcentral's name for it is "tRNA-Thr". The record is from RNAcentral. Lineage: Eukaryota; Metazoa; Arthropoda; Insecta; Psocodea; Hoplopleuridae.
GCUCUUGCAGUUUGAUGUGAACGUUAAAUUUGUAAUUUAAUAGAAACUCCUCAGAGUUCUAGAGCU